AGUGAACGCUGGCGGUAGGCCUAACACAUGCAAGUCGAACGGCAGCACAGUAAGAGCUUGCUCUUACGGGUGGCGAGUGGCGGACGGGUGAGGAAUACUUCGGAAUCUACUUUUUCGUGGGGGAUAACGUAGGGAAACUUACGCUAAUACCGCAUACGACCUACGGGUGAAAGCAGGGGAUCUUCGGACCUUGCGCGAUUGAAUGAGCCGAUGUCGGAUUAGCUAGUUGGCGGGGUAAAGGCCCACCAAGGCGACGAUCGGUAGCUGGUCUGAGAGGAGGAUCGGCCACACGGAAACGGAGACACGGUCCAGACUCCUACGGGAGGAAGAAGGGGGGAAUAUGGAACAAUGGGCGCAAGCCUGAUCCAGCCAUACCGCGGGGGUGAAGAAGGCCUUCGGGUUGUAAAGCCCUUUUGUUGGGAAAGAAAAGCAGCAGGUUAAUACCCCGCUGUUCUGACGGUACCCAAAGAAUAAGCACCGGCUAACUUCGU
RNAcentral lists this ribosomal RNA (491 nucleotides) under uncultured bacterium. RNAcentral describes it as "partial 16S ribosomal RNA". It matches the Rfam family "Bacterial small subunit ribosomal RNA", at positions 29 to 506 of the family's 1533-position model. The record is from RNAcentral.